Molecule: microRNA, 22 nt
Filed under: Caenorhabditis briggsae
Lineage: Eukaryota; Metazoa; Nematoda; Chromadorea; Rhabditida; Rhabditidae
Description: cbr-miR-35d-3p
Gene: cbr-miR-35d-3p
Source: miRBase by way of RNAcentral
UCACCGGGUGAAAAUUUGCAAG